UUUUUCAAAAACAUCGCCUCCUGCAACUUUCUAUGUAUAGGAGGUCCAGCCUGCCCAGUGACUACGGGUUCAACGGCCGCGGUAUUUUGACCGUGCAAAGGUAGCGCAAUCACUUGUCUUUUAAAUGAAGACCUGUAUGAAUGGCCAAACGAGGGCUUAGCUGUCUCCCCCUUCUAGUCAGUGAAAUUGAUCUACCCGUGCAGAAGCGGGUGUAAUUAUACAAGACGAGAAGACCCUUUGGAGCUUAAGGUAUAAAACUUAACCACGUUAAACAAAUUUAUAAAAAAUAUAAACUUAGUGAGAUGCAAAGUUUUACCUUCGGUUGGGGCGACCACGGAGGAAAGACAAGCCUCCAAGCGGACAGGGCCAACACCCUAAAACUAAGAGGGACACCUCUAAGCCACAGAAUAUCUGACCAAUAAUGAUCCAGCAUAAAGCUGAUUAACGGACCAAGUUACCCUAGGGAUAACAGCGCAAUCCUCUCCCAGAGUUCAUAUCGACGAGAGGGUUUACGACCUCGAUGUUGGAUCAGGACAUCCUAAUGGUGCAGCCGCUAUUAAGGGUUCGUUUGUUCAACGAUUAAAGUCCUACGUGAUCUGA
Molecule: ribosomal RNA, 600 nt
Filed under: Rhodeus notatus (rosy bitterling)
Lineage: Eukaryota; Metazoa; Chordata; Actinopteri; Cypriniformes; Acheilognathidae
Description: partial 16S ribosomal RNA
Rfam family: Bacterial large subunit ribosomal RNA
Source: RNAcentral